Molecule: ribosomal RNA, 460 nt
Filed under: uncultured bacterium
Lineage: Bacteria
Description: partial 16S ribosomal RNA
Rfam family: Bacterial small subunit ribosomal RNA
Source: RNAcentral
CCUACGGGAGGCAGCAGUGAGGAAUAUUGGUCAAUGGACGAGAGCCUGAACCAGCCAAGUCGCGUGAAGGAUGACGGCUCUAUGGUUUGUAAACUUCUUUUAUAUGGGAAUAAAGUGAGGAACGUGUUCCUUUUUGUAUGUACCAUAUGAAUAAGCAUCGGCUAACUCCGUGCCAGCAGCCGCGGUAAUACGGAGGAUGCGAGCGUUAUCCGGAUUUAUUGGGUUUAAAGGGUGCGUAGGUGGUUAAUUAAGUCAGCGGUGAAAUUUUGUGGCUCAACCAUAGAAUUGCCGUUGAAACUGGUUGACUUGAGUAUAUAUGAGGUAGGCGGAAUGCGUGGUGUAGCGGUGAAAUGCAUAGAGAUCACGCAGAACUCCGAUUGCGAAGGCAGCUUACUAAACUAUAACUGACACUGAAGCACGAAAGCGUGGGGAGCAAACAGGAUUAGAUACCCGAGUAGUC